Molecule: ribosomal RNA, 433 nt
Filed under: uncultured bacterium
Lineage: Bacteria
Description: partial 16S ribosomal RNA
Rfam family: Bacterial small subunit ribosomal RNA
Source: RNAcentral
AACGAACGCUGGCGGCAUGCCUAAUACAUGCAAGUCGAACGAGACCUUCGGGUCCAGUGGCGCACGGGUGCGUAACCCAUGGGAACCUGACCUCAGGGUCGGCAUAACUACCAGAAAGGGGUGCCAAUACCGGAUAAUUUCUACGGCCCAAAGAUUGAUCGCCCUUGGAGGGGCCGGCGUUGAAUUAGCUGGUUGGUAGGGUAAAAGCCUACCAAGGCGACGAUCCAUAGCUGGUGUGAGAGGAAGAGCCGCCACACUUGGAAUGGGACACAGCCCAGACUCCUACGGGAUGCAGGAAAGGGGGAUAGUGGACAGUGGGCUAAAGCCUGAUCCAGCUAGGCCGCGUGAGUGAUGAAGUCCUUGAAGUUGUAAAGCUCUUUUACCCGGGAUGGUAUUGACAGUACCUAGAGAAUAAGCUCCGGCUAACCCCGUG